AGAUAAAAAGGAACAACCAGAGAAAGCUCGUGAGGAGACAUGAAACUGCUCACCCACAAUCUACUGAGCUCGCAUGUGCGGGGGGUGGGGCCUCGUGGCUUCCCCCUGCGCCUCCAGGCCACGGAGGUCCGCAUCUGCCCCGUGGAGUUCAACCCCCAAUUCGUGGCGCAUAUGAUACCCAAGGUGGAGUGGGCGUCGUUCCUGGAGGCGGUCGAUAACUUGCACCUGGUCCAGGUGCCUAAAGGGCCGGUUGAGGGGUAUGAGGAGAAUGAAGAGUUUCUGAGGACCAUGCACCACCUCCUGCUGGAGGUGGAAGUGGUGGAGGGCACCCUGCAGUGCCGGAGUCUGGACGUAUGUUCCCCAUCAGCCGUGGGAUCCCCAACAUGCUGCUGAGUGAAGACGAAUCUGAGAGUUGAUCGUGCCAGGCGCCAGUUUUUCUUGUUAUGACCGUGUGUAUUUUUGUUGUGUAUCCCCAACCCUUGACCCAAUAACACACCAAAUACACAGUGCUCUUGAGCUCCAUAGUAUAUAUUUUUUUCUCAUUAAAGGUUCAAAACCAAAAA
RNA transcript from Cebus imitator (Panamanian white-faced capuchin), 563 nucleotides. It is a transcript of the gene named multifunctional methyltransferase subunit TRM112-like protein, with no coding region annotated. The transcript has a single exon. Lineage: Eukaryota; Metazoa; Chordata; Mammalia; Primates; Cebidae. The record is from RefSeq and is a predicted model, not a curated record.